AGUGAACGCUGGCGGUAGGCCUAACACAUGCAAGUCGAACGGCAGCACAGUAAGAGCUUGCUCUUACGGGUGGCGAGUGGCGGACGGGUGAGGAAUACAUCGGAAUCUACUUUUUCGUGGGGGAUAACGUAGGGAAACUUACGCUAAUACCGCAUACGACCUACGGGUGAAAGCAGGGGAUCUUCGGACCUUGCGCGAUUGAAUGAGCCGAUGUCGGAUUAGCUAGUUGGCGGGGUAAAGGCCCACCAAGGCGACGAUCCGUAGCUGGUCUGAGAGGAUGAUCAGCCACACUGGAACUGAGACACGGUCCGGACUCCUACGGGAGGCAGCAGUGGGGAAUAUUGAACAAUGGGCGCAAGCCUGAUCCAGCCAUACCGCGUGGGUGAAGAAGGCCUUCGGGUUGUAAAGCCCUUUUGUUGGGAAAGAAAAGCAGCAGGUUAAUACCCCGCUGUUCUGACGGUACCCAAAGAAUAAGCACCGGCUAACUUCGUG
Molecule: ribosomal RNA, 492 nt
Filed under: uncultured bacterium
Lineage: Bacteria
Description: partial 16S ribosomal RNA
Rfam family: Bacterial small subunit ribosomal RNA
Source: RNAcentral